Non-coding RNA from Nicotiana tabacum (common tobacco), 651 nucleotides. The record is from RefSeq and is a predicted model, not a curated record. Lineage: Eukaryota; Viridiplantae; Streptophyta; Magnoliopsida; Solanales; Solanaceae.
GUCAUAAUUUUUGGUAUAAUAGUUGUGAUUCAUUCACACUAUAUACAUUUGGCUUCCACAACACUAGGAACAAUCGUCACCGGCCUUUCAAUUUAAUCCAUAAGCCUCUAUCGAUAAAGCCAAAUUACAUCAGAGAGCAGAGCACACAAGCUUAUACAAAGGUCGCCAUAAUAACAUCCACACAUUGGAAAAUAUGAGUUUGGAUUUAUUACUUUAUUUGUCUUGAUGCAGAGCUACUCAACCAAGUUCUAUCCAAGGAUAUUAAGAAGCUUAACCCGAUAGAUCAGUAGUUUGAGCAUGAAAACUGGAGAAAGAAAUAUUGAUUUGACAAUGUAGCAAGUGUUGGAGGAACGCGUGGUUAUCUUUGUGGAUGUAAUUUAAAAAGAGGAACGAAGUUCACAAUAUAGUUUUCAAUGUUCUGCUGCUAUUCCCCGAGGAUGGUUUAUGCCUCACUUUUGGGUUUGCAAAAUCAUAGCUCUUCUUUUCAAGUAUUUAUUGCUGUAAGAGUUACAAGUAUAUGUCCCAAGCAUACAGAGUGUAUGAUUUAAAUAAAACUUGAAAUCUAUAUUUUGCGACUUAUCAACUGUAAAUUCUUUUCUAUUUUAGCUUCUUUGUAUUGUUGUUUGUAUGUAUGAUUUUUUGAAGAACAUC